RNAcentral lists this long non-coding RNA (248 nucleotides) under Salvia miltiorrhiza (redroot sage). Its description in RNAcentral is "long non-coding RNA (SMIL_LNC000591)". The record is from RNAcentral. Lineage: Eukaryota; Viridiplantae; Streptophyta; Magnoliopsida; Lamiales; Lamiaceae.
UUUGUUGUAUGUUAUGGCAGUAGGUCACACUAACAUUUCAUACAAGUUUACAGUAAUUGGAGAAUAAGUUUCAGUCUGCAGGUCUCUAUUUAGAUGCAUGGGCUUUCCAAUGUUUAUAGUGCCUCAGGAUUCUUGGUUAUUCAGUACCAGAAUAUAUUUUCUGUUUCGAAAGAAAUAUGCUGGAUUUCCGUUCCUGUUGAUCUUAUUCCCAUAUUUUUUAGAUCAAUCUUUUUGUCUUAACCAAAUGU